RNAcentral lists this ribosomal RNA (522 nucleotides) under uncultured bacterium. RNAcentral's name for it is "bacterial SSU rRNA". It matches the Rfam family "Bacterial small subunit ribosomal RNA", at positions 551 to 1074 of the family's 1533-position model. The record is from RNAcentral.
UAACUGGGCGUAAAGGGCACGCAGGCGGUGACUUAAGUGAGGUGUGAAAGCCCCGGGCUUAACCUGGGAAUUGCAUUUCAUACUGGGUCGCUAGAGUACUUUAGGGAGGGGUAGAAUUCCACGUGUAGCGGUGAAAUGCGUAGAGAUGUGGAGGAAUACCGAAGGCGAAGGCAGCCCCUUGGGAAUGUACUGACGCUCAUGUGCGAAAGCGUGGGGAGCAAACAGGAUUAGAUACCCUGGUAGUCCACGCUGUAAACGAUGUCGAUUUGGGGGUUGAACUUUGUGUUUGGCGCCCGUAGCUAACGUGAUAAAUCGACCGCCUGGGGAGUACGGCCGCAAGGUUAAAACUCAAAUGAAUUGACGGGGGCCCGCACAAGCGGUGGAGCAUGUGGUUUAAUUCGAUGCAACGCGAAGAACCUUACCUACUCUUGACAUCCAGAGAACAUUCCAGAGAUGGAUUGGUGCCUUCGGGAACUCUGAGACAGGUGCUGCAUGGCUGUCGUCAGCUCGUGUCGUGAGAAG